RNAcentral lists this ribosomal RNA (468 nucleotides) under uncultured bacterium. RNAcentral describes it as "partial 16S ribosomal RNA". It matches the Rfam family "Bacterial small subunit ribosomal RNA", at positions 28 to 507 of the family's 1533-position model. The record is from RNAcentral.
GACGAACGCUGGCGGCGUGCUUAACACAUGCAAGUCGAACGGAAAGGCCCUGCUUUUGUGGGGUGCUCGAGUGGCGAACGGGUGAGUAACACGUGAGUAACCUGCCCUUGACUUUGGGAUAACUUCAGGAAACUGGGGCUAAUACCGGAUAGGAGCUCCUGCUGCAUGGUGGGGGUUGGAAAGUUUCGGCGGUUGGGGAUGGACUCGCGGCUCAUCAGCUUGUUGGUGGGGUAGUGGCUUACCAAGGCUUUGACGGGUAGCCGGCCUGAGAGGGUGACCGGCGGCAUUGGGACUGAGAUACGGCCCAGACUCCUACGGGAGGCAGCAGUGGGGAAUAUUGCACAAUGGGCGGAAGCCUGAUGCAGCAACGCCGCGUGCGGGAUGACGGCCUUCGGGUGGUAAACCGCUUUCGCCUGUGACGAAGCGUGAGUGACGGUAAUGGGUAAAGAAGCACCGGCUAACUACGUG